Molecule: ribosomal RNA, 532 nt
Filed under: uncultured eukaryote
Lineage: Eukaryota
Description: SSU rRNA
Rfam family: Eukaryotic small subunit ribosomal RNA
Source: RNAcentral
UAGUCAUAUGCUUGUCUCAAAGAUUAAGCCAUGCAUGUCUAAGUACAUACCUUUGCACGGUGAAACCGCGAAUGGCUCAUUAAAUCAGUUAUGGUUCCUUAGAUCGUUCUUUUUACAUGGAUAACUGUGGUAAUUCUAGAGCUAAUACAUGCAAAAAGCUCCGACCGUAUGGGAAGAGCGCUUUUAUUAGACCAAAACCAAUGGGGUCGCAAGAUCCCUUUGUCUGGUGACUCUGGAUAACUUUGUGCUGAUCGCAUGGCCUUGAGCCGGCGACGUAUCUUUCAAGUGUCUGCCCUAUCAACUUUCGAUGGUAAGCGAUUUGCCUACCAUGGUUGUAACGGGUAACGGGGAAUCAGGGUUCGAUUCCGGAGAGGGAGCAUGAGAAAUGGCUACCACAUCUACGGAAGGCAGCAGGCGCGCAAAUUACCCACUCCUAGAACGGGGAGGUAGUGACGAAAAAUAACAAUACCGGACUCAAUGAGGCUCGGUAAUUGAAAUGAGUACAGUUUAAAACCCUUAACGAGGAUCUAUU